UAAUUGUGCACACAAAAAAAUUAAAUUCCUUUCUCCUCUCCCCCUCAUAUUCUAUAUUCUGUCUCCAAUCUAAAUAUACUACACAUACACAAAACACAAAUUAGGUUAUCCCCUUCAUACACACAUAAACAAACCCUAGAUCCUCUUACUCUCCCUCUCGAUACAUUUCAGCAAACCACACAAGCAGAGACAUCUCAACCACUCCCUCAUUCCCCUCUUAAGCCCAGCCGACAGCCCCCUCCCCCUCUCUUCUCCGACGAAACAGCCGGCUGGUACCGGUGGUCUUCUCCGACGAACGACUCACCCCCCCCCCUCUUGAACAACAAAACGAACCACCACCACCACUGUCUGGUGGUGGUGCGGCAGUUACACAACAGGAGAGAGAGAGGAGUGAAGAUGGAGAGUGGCGAAGCGCGGAGGAGCUCCAGUGGAUCCGGCAACAACAACUGAGAACCCGGCGGUGACCGGUGGAUUUUUCCGACGGCGGCGCCGUCAUGAUCGGCGGCGGAGACUUCUGUUCGAGGUGAGAGAGAGAGAGCAGUGAAGAACCAACAAGAGGCACGACGGCCGGCAACAAUCCGGUGAAAGUUUCCGUUUCAGUUCAACAAAGAGUUAGGGUGGUGGCUCGGUUUAGUCACAGUUCAGCUCAGCGGAUUUCUAAGUCUCGGUACGAUGAUUCGUGUAUUCAUCCGACGAAUUUUCACCGCGAGUUGACUCGGUCAACUCAACCGAGUCAACUCGGCCAACAGCAGCGAGUCAACUCAGCUUUUGGGUCAGCGGUUCUGGUCGACAGUUUGGUUCGGGUCAGCCGGUUCUGGUCGGAUUAGGAAGCGGUUCGGAUCCACACGAGUCAACCCGGUUGACUCGGUCAACACAUUCGACAUUUCAACACGAAGAUUUGGUAAAGAUUAUCGGCGUGUUUAAUAUUUAAGUUAUAUUUUAGUUAUAAUUCUCACGUGACAACGAGCUCGAACGAGUGUGAUUAUAGUUUACAUUGACAUAUUUGACGAACAUUUUUAUACAUAUUGUUUGUGUUGAGUUAUUGAUUUCA
This is a long non-coding RNA of Helianthus annuus (common sunflower), 1051 nucleotides long. RefSeq lists it as uncharacterized. The record is from RefSeq and is a predicted model, not a curated record. The transcript is spliced from 3 exons. Lineage: Eukaryota; Viridiplantae; Streptophyta; Magnoliopsida; Asterales; Asteraceae.